RNA transcript from Cryptomeria japonica (Japanese cedar), 2928 nucleotides. It is a transcript of the gene named probable inactive poly [ADP-ribose] polymerase SRO5, with no coding region annotated. NCBI's taxonomy places the organism in Eukaryota, Viridiplantae, Streptophyta, Pinopsida, Cupressales, Cupressaceae. The record is from RefSeq and is a predicted model, not a curated record. The transcript is spliced from 6 exons.
GCAUUCUGCAACCAGCCCACCGUCUAUCACCGUCAAAACAAACGGCACCGAGUGACGGUGGGCGGCCGUGGUUAUUCUUAAAUACAGUCAGGUUUAUAUCUCAGACUUGUUUGAACGCUCUGCGAUUCAAAUCAACAGUGUAUGAUUUGAUAAGGUUGUAGUACACAGAAGAGUAUUGAUGUUCUGCUGGUUGGUUUGGGCGUUGGAGUUGUGAAUCUCAGCAGCCUUGUAUGAGCAGUAAGUAGAAGGAAAUAGCGGUUUAUAUUGCAGUUUUUGUUCUCAUUUCAAUGUUGUAAGAUUUUUAUAGUUAGGAAGAGGAAAUUUCUUUGCUUAGCUUUAAAAUGGACGCCAAAGGACAGCUUCGGUCUCCUUUAUUCGUCGACAAGGCCAAAUUGAAGCGCAAACAGGCUGUAGUUUCAUUUCUGAAAGCCAAAAAGCGGUCGUCGGUGCCCCCUGCAAAGAGGGCCAAAAUCCCCGGUGGAAUUGUAAGGUGUUGCUCUGACGGGAAGGCAGUUGUGGAAAAUUACAGCAAUUUUAGAAAAAGUGGUAUUCCGGCCCGCGUUAUGUAUUUCUUCGAGGGCGGCUGGACGGAUUUUCAGUCUGAUGUUGCUGUACUCCUCAAACAGGCUUUCCAAGACGGUAAGACAGCAGUCGAGGUCGCCGUUGACGGGGUUUCGUGCCUGGUGGAUUUUCUCCAUAUGGUUCAGAUUGAUCUGAAAUCUGCUGCGCAGAGAUCGAUUGCCUGGAUAGACGUUGAUGGAAAUUGUUUUUUCCCGAGGAAUGUCUGUGAUGGGAAGGUUGAAUUGGGCAAUUCAUCUGAUAAUGUUGAAAUUGACGUCAGAUUCCAUGGCGCCGAUCGCUUGGGAGUCGAAAAUUGUAGAGUAGUUAGUGACGGAGAUCCGAAAUCUGGUCAAGUGGAGGAUUCAUCGGAGCAGGGUUCUAGUGAUUCAUGCGUCGGCAGUUCCGAUGUGUCCGACUCCGAAUGCCCCACUUCUGUUAGGGUUUUCGCUGUAAAGGCUUUUGUGGGCACGGGUGAUAAUUUGAUUAAGCUGGAUGAUCAUGACCGGGAUUUUUUCAACGUGCGAGACAAGUUUUUGGCCGGUCUUACAACGCUUGCGAGUUAUACAAGCGUUGUUGCAAUUUAUCGCAACUCGCAUUGCGGUGUUGCAGGGCAAUCCCGAUUGCAUGCUUUUGAGCGGCAUGCGGAUUUUAUUACCAGAAAGAAUGGGGGUGAUGCAAAUAUCCAGUGCGCCUGGCAUGGAACGUCCAGGGAUGCUGUUUGUGGAAUAAUAACGCAUGGUUUUGGGCAGCCUAAGACCCCGAAACAUGGUGCAGCUCUUGGCAAAGGAGUCUACCUUGCACCUGUAAAUUGCUCGUAUGUGAGUGCAGCAUACUCUGAUGUUGACGAAAAUGGCGAACAACACAUGGUGUUGUGUCGCGUAAUAUUGGGAAAUACGGAGCUGGUGAGAUCUGGUUCUCAGCAAUGUCAUCCUACUAAUGAAGAAUUCGAUACUGGCAUAGAUGAUCUCACUAAUCCAAGGCGUUACAUCGUCUGGAGUACACACAUGAACACGCAUAUCUUGCCAGAAUAUGUUGUAAGCUUUAAGGUUGCUCCACAGUUAAAAGAGUAUUGGUCUAGAUUGAAAGCAAGACAGCAUGCAAGAUCAAUGCUUGAGACUGAUGGAGGUCGGCAGUCUUAUCCUGCCUCGGAUAAGAAAUCAGAGCAACCUUGUCCUGCUUUAGUAAAGGAAUCGCGACAUAAUAUGCAGGAGCAUCUCCUGAUGCCAACUUCUGCUUGGAUGUCAUUUCCAAGGCUUUUUAACGUCAUUGAAAAAUUCUUACCUUCAUCAAGUAUCAAUUUAAUGAAGAAGCAUUAUGCUGAUUACAAGGUUUCCAGCAACUUUCAAGUAAUUUAUGAACUUCUCAUUGACACUAGUCCAGCGCACUGGGUGGGUUUGUAUACUCUUGCCUAAGGUUCUUGCAUUCUCAUCAGACAAGAUGCAAAGCAGAAGAUCCUACAAUUGAAGAAACUGUGAUGGCUUCAGUUCAUGUUAAGAGGACGAUUUUGCACAAUGAUGCCGGGUAUUUUUGAGACCUGUGGCCAUUGUACUAUUUGUGUCUGAUAUGUAGAUAAAUACCAGACCUAUUUACGUUUGCUUGGAAGGUAAGAAAUCCUCACCUUGAUCUAUAAUUGGCCAUUCUAUGCAGAAUUAUAAUUCACCUUAUAUUUUUUUCAAAAUAACAAAAAAAUUAGAGUAUCUUUAUGAUCCCAAAAUUAUUAAUUUCAUAUGGAAGAAAACAGCCACCUCACCUGGAUUAAAUCUCCUUCCUCUGGUUCUAUCAAACGCUUUUCUUUCCCAUCUUUCACUCCCUCUUAUUUCCCUACUUAAUCCAUUUUAGAUCAUCAAUGGGACUAGUUAGAGAAAUCAAAUAUUCCAUUAUUUUCAUAUUUUAGAUUAAAAGAGCAAGCUAAUGCAUGUUUUGAGGUAGAUUUUGCUUGGGUGGGAAGGAUUUUGCAUUAUUUUUCAUGAUUUCAUUCAUUGGGAUAUGCACUUAGGGUAGUAGUGGAUAGUUUCGACUUUUUAACAUUUUAAGAAUACAUACUAUAAUCACUUUUCCUCGUGCUGAAUUAUUAUUGCAGCAUUAAGUCUUAAUGGGAAAAAAAUGCAGUACUUGUUGGGUUUUAAUAGUAAGUUCCUUGGAUUCCAAUCUAAUUGGCUUGGAUGGUUAUCUUUAGUCAUUGGAUUCUUGGGGACCAUAGAACCGGAAUGGACCAAACAACUCUUCAUUAUGUCUUAUCCAUUCCCCAAUAGAAUGAAUAGCUUUCGUUGGGUGUGAUAGGUGGUGGAUCCUUUUGGAAGAGAUUUAUUUAGGUGUACAUAUGUAGCAGUCUUAUAUACAAUUGAAUACAAAUCUACUUUUGCUCUA